Molecule: non-coding RNA, 317 nt
Organism: Pelobates cultripes (western spadefoot toad)
Lineage: Eukaryota; Metazoa; Chordata; Amphibia; Anura; Pelobatidae
Source: the annotation of a GenBank genome assembly
GGAAAGCAUAUCAAUUAAACUGUUAAUAGCUAUCCCUUCUGGCACCUUGGUAACUCACUUUGCUUUCUCUACUGCAAAUGUGUCAUCCAAUAAACUAGCCGUUAACUGUAAACUAUUCUCACAAACUACUUUUUCCCUUACAUGAAAUACAUCCUAUCCUUACCUCUUGUGCCACUCUACCAAAUGACUGCCAGAAUGUAAGCUUGUUUGAGCAGGGCCCGCAGCACACUCUGUUCCUGUGAGUCCAAAUAUUCGUCAGAGUACAGAAUAUUUGAUAGAGUCCUAACCUCAACAUAUGAGGAAAGGGAUUUAGGGGU